This 254-nucleotide ribosomal RNA is filed under the name uncultured bacterium. Its description in RNAcentral is "partial 16S ribosomal RNA". It matches the Rfam family "Bacterial small subunit ribosomal RNA", at positions 524 to 776 of the family's 1533-position model. The record is from RNAcentral.
UACGGGGGGAGCAAGCGUUGUUCGGAUUUACUGGGCGUAAAGGGUGCGUAGGCGGCCUGUGCAAGUCAGUUGUGAAAUCUCCGAGCUUAACUCGGAACGGUCAACUGAUACUGCUCGGCUAGAGUGCGGAAGGGGCAACUGGAAUUCUUGGUGUAGCGGUGAAAUGCGUAGAUAUCAGGAGGAACACCGGUGGCGAAGGCGGGUCUCUGGGCAGUAACUGACGCUGAGGAGCGAAAGCGUGGGGAGCGAACAGG